CCUACGGGAGGCAGCAGUGAGGAAUAUUGGUCAAUGGGCGUAAGCCUGAACCAGCCACGUCGCGUGAGGGAUGAAGGUCCUAUGGAUCGUAAACCUCUUUUAUAAGGGAAUAAAGUGUGGGACGUGUCCUGUUUUGUAUGUACCUUAUGAAUAAGGAUCGGCUAACUCCGUGCCAGCAGCCGCGGUAAUACGGAGGGUCCGUGCGUUAUCCGGAUUGAUUGGGUUUAAAGGGUGCGUAGGCGGGCUUUUAAGUCAGCGGUGAAAGUUUGUGGCUCAACCAUAGAAUUGCCGUUGAAACUGGGAGACUGGAGUAUGUGUGAGGAUGGUGGAAUGCGUGGUGUAGCGGUGAAAUGCUUAGAUAUCACGCAGAACCUCGAUUGCGAAGGCAGCCUGCCAAGCCAUGACUGACGCUGAUGCGCGAAAGCGUGGGUAUCAAACAGGAUUAGAUACCCUUGUAGUC
This 460-nucleotide ribosomal RNA is filed under the name uncultured bacterium. RNAcentral describes it as "partial 16S ribosomal RNA". It matches the Rfam family "Bacterial small subunit ribosomal RNA", at positions 338 to 795 of the family's 1533-position model. The record is from RNAcentral.